RNAcentral lists this ribosomal RNA (498 nucleotides) under Stenotrophomonas sp. DsA.N007. Its description in RNAcentral is "bacterial SSU rRNA". It matches the Rfam family "Bacterial small subunit ribosomal RNA", at positions 44 to 534 of the family's 1533-position model. Lineage: Bacteria; Pseudomonadati; Pseudomonadota; Gammaproteobacteria; Lysobacterales; Lysobacteraceae. The record is from RNAcentral.
AGCGUUGCUACACUGCAGUCGACGCCGCACAGAGUAGCUUGCUCCUUGGGUGGGGAGUGGCGGAUGGAGAAGAAGACAUCGGAAUCUACUCUGUGGUGGGGGAUGAGGAAGGAAAACUUACGCUAAUACCGCGUACGACCUACGGGUGAAAGCAGGGGAUCUUCGGACCUUGCUGGAUUGAAUGUGCCGAUGCCGGAUUAGCUUGUUGGCGGGGUAAAGGCCCUGCAUGGCCACCAUCCGUUUGUGGUCUGAUAGGAUGAUCAUUCACACUGGAACUGAGACAUGGUCCAGACUCCUACGGGAGGCAGCAGUGGUCAAUAUUGGACAAUGGGCGCAAGCCUGAUCCAGCCAUACCGCGUGGGUGAAGAAGGCCUUCGGGUUGUAAAGCCCUUUUGUUGGGAAAGAAAUCCAUCUGGUUAAUAUCUGAUUGGGAUGACGGUACCCAAAGAUGAAGCACCGGCUAACUUCGUGCCAACAGCCGCGGUAAUUCUAAGGGUG